This 1162-nucleotide long non-coding RNA is filed under the name Homo sapiens (human). RNAcentral's name for it is "HSALNT0306027". Lineage: Eukaryota; Metazoa; Chordata; Mammalia; Primates; Hominidae. The record is from RNAcentral.
UUUGGAAAUUAAUCUCCUAUUUGAAGGGUAAUUAUAACUUUACAGGAACUUUAUUCCCAUUUAUUACCUAAUUCAGGCCCUUAUUACAAUCACAAAGGAGGAAGCGGGGAUUUAUGACUUCAUGCAGUUUAAACCACCUGCCUGCCUAAGUGGCAAAGCUAGCUGCUCACAGGACAGCUCUGAAUCUGACUAAGCUUAUUCCAUCAAACUUCACUCCAGAAUUUUCAAAUCACCGAACCCCAAAGUUAUGGGAAUUUGUUGCCAAGGGAGAAAGACAGUGGAAUUUCUGCUUUCCUGAUCUGCAGAAACUAUAAAACUGACCCAAUAGAUAUGGAUAUCGCCUCAUCAGCAAAGCAGCACUCUCGCAUAUUCUUUCCUGAAGGAUUUAUAUAGUUUCAAUAUGCUCCUCAUUGAUUCCAGAUUAGACUGUAUUGCCUGCCCUCAUGAGAUGUGUUUCUCCUCCAAGAAUUCCUGAUAGUCCUCUGGUGUGUAUGUGUGUGCACUCAUGCAUUUGGCUUUCAGCUACAGCCACCAUAUGAAUAGAAAGAAUGGACAUACAAAGAAUCACAUUUGCCUUCCACUUCUGCAAUUUGCUGACCCUAGCAGACUACACGAACUAGAUGAUUGGAACUCCUCAAGGGUAACCUCUGUAAGACUGCAGACUUAAAGGUUGUCAGCAACUUGGCUUAUAUCUGCAGUGGCUUUGUUUCUCUCCAGUGCAUAAACCAAAGGUAAAAUUGGACUCACGAGCUAACCUUUACCACCAGGCAUUCUUUUACUUGAAGAUGAUAAUAGACUUUCCUUGUGGUGGAAGUUGUGCGCCAUGAGUGCCCUCUCUUGUGUCACCGUACGAGUGUGUAAAGUAAGAAGUGCAGGCAGGGAGUAGCAGGACUUGGCUCUUAGGACAACAGAAGACAGCUGCAUUGCAGGUCAUUAGCCUCAGAAUGUUCUUGGAUUACAUAUAAUAAAGUUAAUCUCUUACUGACAUUUAACCUGCCUCUUUGUGGCCAAAAUAAUAAAACCCACUCUACAAAGGGUUAGAGAAAGCAAUUGUUAAAACUAUAAAGAAACGUCUUCAGUAAAUGCAGUAUCUAACUUCCUGUAAAUCUCUUUCUGGAAAAGAUUCAAGGAAUACUAUGGAGAACAUACUAAAACAACAACA